GUGCUGGCGGAGCUACCAUGCAGUCGAGCGGUAACAGAUCCAGCUUGCUGGAUGCUGACGAGCGGCGGACGGGUGAGUAAUGCAUAGGAAUCUGCCCGAUAGUGGGGGAUAACCUGGGGAAACCCAGGCUAAUACCGCAUACGUCCUACGGGAGAAAGGGGGCUUCGGCUCCCGCUAUCGGAUGAGCCUAUGUCGGAUUAGCUAGUUGGUGAGGUAACGGCUCACCAAGGCGACGAUCCGUAGCUGGUCUGAGAGGAUGAUCAGCCACAUCGGGACUGAGACACGGCCCGAACUCCUACGGGAGGCAGCAGUGGGGAAUAUUGGACAAUGGGGGGAACCCUGAUCCAGCCAUGCCGCGUGUGUGAAGAAGGCCCUCGGGUUGUAAAGCACUUUCAGCGAGGAAGAACGCCUAGCGGUUAAUACCCGCUAGGAAAGACAUCACUCGCAGAAGAAGCACCGGCUAACUCCGUGCCAGCAGCCGCGGUAAUACGGAGGGUGCAAGCGUUAAUCGGAAUUACUGGGCGUAAAGCGCGCGUAGGUGGCUUGAUAAGCCGGUUGUGAAAGCCCCGGGCUCAACCUGGGAACGGCAUCCGGAACUGUCAAGCUAGAGUGCAGGAGAGGAAGGUAGAAUUCCCGGUGUAGCGGUGAAAUGCGUAGAGAUCGGGAGGAAUACCAGUGGCGAAGGCGGCCUUCUGGACUGACACUGACACUGAGGUGCGAAAGCGUGGGUAGCAAACAGGAUUAGAUACCCUUGGUAGUCA
This 761-nucleotide ribosomal RNA is filed under the name Vreelandella aquamarina. RNAcentral's name for it is "bacterial SSU rRNA". It matches the Rfam family "Bacterial small subunit ribosomal RNA", at positions 33 to 796 of the family's 1533-position model. The record is from RNAcentral. Lineage: Bacteria; Pseudomonadati; Pseudomonadota; Gammaproteobacteria; Oceanospirillales; Halomonadaceae.